This 355-nucleotide ribosomal RNA is filed under the name Helictopleurus semivirens. Its description in RNAcentral is "partial 16S ribosomal RNA". The record is from RNAcentral. Lineage: Eukaryota; Metazoa; Arthropoda; Insecta; Coleoptera; Scarabaeidae.
ACCUGCCCUAUGAUUUUAUAUUAAAUGGCCGCGAUAUUUUGAUCGUGCAAAGGUAGCAUAAUCAUUAGUUUUUUAAUUAGGAACUGGAAUGAAGGGUUGAACGAGAAAGAAACUGUCUCAAUUUAAUUUAAUUAGAAUUUUAUAUUUAAGUAAAAAAGCUUAAAUUUUUUUAAAAGACGAGAAGACCCUAUAGAGUUUUAUAUAUAGUAAUUUUAUAAAGUAAUUUAGAAUCAUUUUUUUUAUUAAUAUAUUAUAUAUUUAGUUGGGGUGACUAAAAAAUUUACAUAACUUUUUUUAAUAUAUAUAUUUCAUUAAUUUAUGUGUUAUUGAUCCAUUUUUUAUGAUUAAAAGAUUA